Molecule: small nucleolar RNA, 114 nt
Filed under: Dasypus novemcinctus (nine-banded armadillo)
Lineage: Eukaryota; Metazoa; Chordata; Mammalia; Cingulata; Dasypodidae
Source: RNAcentral
GUAAAUGCUCUACAAGCCUGCGCAUGGCAUUGGGGGUUAAGCUGCAGCACCAGAGCAUGUGCUUGCCCAGGGUUGCCUGACCCUACUGGCGGCCUUUAACCUCCAGCAAAAAAA